Molecule: non-coding RNA, 421 nt
Organism: Pelobates cultripes (western spadefoot toad)
Lineage: Eukaryota; Metazoa; Chordata; Amphibia; Anura; Pelobatidae
Source: the annotation of a GenBank genome assembly
UUAGGUAACUAUCUACUAAACACAUACACAUUUAUAUACACGCACACACAGACUCUGUGUCUCUGUGUGUAUAUAUUUGUGGUUGAGUGUGUAUAUGUAAAUACAUACACAAUUAGAGACACACCCACACAUAUUCACAGACCCAAACACAUUCACAGACCCCCAAGCACACAUUCAAUCACAGACCCACACACACACAUUUAGUAAUUAAGAGUAUCACCCACCCCCCUUACCUUGCUCUGGGAGGGCUGGAGUGGAUCCUCUUCCUGGUGGCCAGUGGUUGCCGUGAUCUUCCUGCACAGGUCCCUCAGGAAGAUCAUUCUCUCCUAACAUCUACAAUAACUGCAGAUCAACAUAUUUCAUGUAGGGAGGCAUGUCUACAGAAUUGGUUAAAUAAAUAAUAUUUAUGAAAAAGAGUUAC